GACGAACGCUGGCGGCGUGCUUAACGCAUGCAAGUCGAACGGAAAGGCCCUGCUUUUGUGGGGUGCUCGAGUGGCGAACGGGUGAGUAACACGUGAGUAACCUGCCCUUGACUUUGGGAUAACUUCAGGAAACUGGGGCUAAUACCGGAUAGGAGCUCCUGCUGCAUGGUGGGGGUUGGAAAGUUUCGGCGGUUGGGGAUGGACUCGCGGCUUAUCAGCUUGUUGGUGGGGUAGUGGCUUACCAAGGCUUUGAUGGGUAGCCGGCCUGAGAGGGUGACCGGCCACAUUGGGACUGAUAUACGGCCCAGACUCCUACGGGAGGCAGCAGUGGGGAAUAUUGCACCAUGGGCGGAAGCCUGAUGCAGCAACGCCGCGUGCGGGAUGACGGCCUUCGGGUUGUAAACCGCUUUCGCCUGUGACGAAGCGUGAGUGACGGUAAUGGGUAAAGAAGCACCGGCUAACUACGUG
This 468-nucleotide ribosomal RNA is filed under the name uncultured bacterium. RNAcentral describes it as "partial 16S ribosomal RNA". It matches the Rfam family "Bacterial small subunit ribosomal RNA", at positions 28 to 507 of the family's 1533-position model. The record is from RNAcentral.